CGCGAUUUACAUGAUCACGACAGCUUCUCGCGUCAUCUGAUUGGUUGAUUUGAGUCAGGUUCACGGGAUACUUUGGAUUCGAAAACUAUAUUCCCGCCCAGGAUUCUUCUCGUCUCUUCUUCAACGGCUGUUUUUAGAAGUCCUCCAAUCCACCAUCAGCGAGACCGAACUCCUCCAGUCCAGCUACAGAUAAGCUGCUGACCCAUUUCAGAGGAGGAACAUUGGCCAUGACCCAAAAGGACCACUAAAUCCUCAACUUUUUCUUGACACUUCUGCGGUGAGAAAAGUUCCCUAACAAAAAAAACGGUCAUAUCCAGAGAUGGCUUCAGCUUGCUCCGGAUUGGGAUGGAGGAAGAAGAGAACGGCUGAAGAGAAAGGAGAUGAUAAAUAGCUGUGCCUCUCAUUUAGAGCCUCAAUAGCUUAUGCGUGCGAACACAUACGAAAUACAUUCAUUUCCUAUUCAUGUGCACACACGCAGUUAUGUUUUAUGUUGUUUAUAAAGUUUAAUUUUGUCUUUCUUUGGUUUAUAACGUUUUC
This is a long non-coding RNA of Triplophysa dalaica, 537 nucleotides long. RefSeq lists it as uncharacterized. The transcript has 3 exons. NCBI's taxonomy places the organism in Eukaryota, Metazoa, Chordata, Actinopteri, Cypriniformes, Nemacheilidae. The record is from RefSeq and is a predicted model, not a curated record.